UACGUAGGGGGCGAGCGUUGUCCGGAUUUAUUGGGCGUAAAACGCUUGUAGGUGGCUACGUCAAGUCGGACGUGAAAUCUCCCGGCUUAACUGGGAGGGGUCGCUCGAUACUGGCGAGCUCGAGGCAGGUAGGGGGAAGCGGAAUUCCCGGUGUAGUGGUGGAAUGCGUAGAUAUCGGGAGGAACACCAGUGGCGAAGGCGGCUUCCUGGACCUGUUCUGACACUGAGGAGCGAAAGCCAGGGGAGCAAACGGG
Molecule: ribosomal RNA, 254 nt
Filed under: uncultured bacterium
Lineage: Bacteria
Description: partial 16S ribosomal RNA
Rfam family: Bacterial small subunit ribosomal RNA
Source: RNAcentral